This 497-nucleotide ribosomal RNA is filed under the name uncultured bacterium. RNAcentral describes it as "partial 16S ribosomal RNA". It matches the Rfam family "Bacterial small subunit ribosomal RNA", at positions 28 to 507 of the family's 1533-position model. The record is from RNAcentral.
GAUGAACGCUGGCGGCGUGCCUAAUACAUGCAAGUCGAGCGAACAGACGAUGAGCUUGCUCCUCUGACGUUAGCGGCGGACGGGUGAGUAACACGUGGAUAACCUACCUAUAAGACUGGGAUAACUUCGGGAAACCGGAGCUAAUACCGUAUAAUAUAUUGAACCGCAUGGUUCAAUAGUGAAAGACGGUUUUGCUGUCACUUAUCGAUGGAUCCGCGCCGCAUUAGCUAGUUGGUAAGGUAACGGCUUACCAAGGCAACGAUGCGUAGCCGACCUGAGAGGGUGAUCGGCCACACUGGAACUGAGACACGGUCCAGACUACUACGGGAGGCAGCAGUAGGGAAUCUUCCGCAAUGGGCGAAAGCCUGACGGAGCAACGCCGCGUGAGUGAUGAAGGUCUUCGGAUCGUAAAACUCUGUUAUUAGGGAAGAACAAAUGUGUAAGUAACUAUGCACGUCUUGACGGUACCUAAUCAGAAAGCCACGGCUAACUACGUG